UAGGCCUUCUAGAAAAAAAGAUAAGG
RNAcentral lists this non-coding RNA (26 nucleotides) under Mus musculus (house mouse). Lineage: Eukaryota; Metazoa; Chordata; Mammalia; Rodentia; Muridae. The record is from RNAcentral.